AACGACCUAGGGACGCAGCAGUGAGGAAUAUUGGUCAAUGGCCGGAAGGCUGAACCAGCCAAGUCGCGUGAGGGACGACUGCCCUAUGGGUUGUAAACCUCUUUUAUAAGGGAAGAAUAAAUGCUACGUGUAGCAUGAUGCCUGUACCUUAUGAAUAAGCAUCGGCUAACUCCGUGCCAGCAGCCGCGGUAAUACGGAGGAUGCGAGCGUUAUCCGGAUUUAUUGGGUUUAAAGGGUGCGUAGGCGGUUUUUUAAGUUAGUGGUUAAACGUCGGGGCUUCACCUUGAUUUGCCAUUAAUACUGUA
This 305-nucleotide ribosomal RNA is filed under the name uncultured bacterium. RNAcentral describes it as "bacterial SSU rRNA". It matches the Rfam family "Bacterial small subunit ribosomal RNA", at positions 333 to 637 of the family's 1533-position model. The record is from RNAcentral.